RNAcentral lists this long non-coding RNA (834 nucleotides) under Homo sapiens (human). RNAcentral describes it as "long intergenic non-protein coding RNA 1118". Lineage: Eukaryota; Metazoa; Chordata; Mammalia; Primates; Hominidae. The record is from RNAcentral.
AGCAGGUGAGGAGGCUGGGGCCAGAUGACAGCUAGUGAGGGAGCAGAGACAAGACAAGGCGAGCCUGUGACAGAGCGAGACCCUGUCUCAAAAAACAAAAACAAGACAUGUGAGCUUGGACUCCAGUGUGGAAUCCCAUGUCCGCUCAGUGCACCUUUCUGCCGCUGAAAGUACAAGAGGAGAGGGGAAACCCACAGGUGGAGCUGACCAUGAGGACUGUCACAGGGAACUCUUUGAAUAAGAGGACACCAGAUCAUGCCUGCAGUUCCAGCCCAGGAGCAACUAGCACCAGCCUCAGCAUGGAGCAGGACUUCAGUUCCAGCAGCGAGGACUGAGAUCAGACACAAGAGAAAGCUCCCUGAUGAGGAGGGGUGAUUCUAAAACGAAGGGCGGAAAUUAUCUGGGGAAUUUCCUUCCCGUGAAGCCUCAGGAACAUGCCAGUCCCCCACUUCGGUCUGUCCUGGGGGGUCUCACGCCCCUGUCCUCCUAGAGAAAUCUAGAUCCUCCAAACUCUGCCUGGGUUCUUCCUGGGGAGUCUUGACCCCUGCCUUGUGGUUGAUGUGGGAUAGGGGACCCGGGAACAGGGCUGCCUUCCUCUGGCCAAGGCCUGGCAAGCAAGUGUGGGAUGGGUGCUGUCUUCCUGAGAGGGACAAUAGAAGUGACAGAGCCCCCUAAUUCAAGACCCUGCAGAGGUGGUGUGAGAUCUUAUAAUAUCAGUCUCUAAGCCAGUGCCUCUCAAGCUCUCUUUGGUGAAGAAUCAAUUUUUAAAAUAUAUAAUCAGUCACAGAUCAAUGCUUUUGUAAAAUGCAAUAAAAGUUAAUUUCCAAAAAAAUC